This 465-nucleotide ribosomal RNA is filed under the name uncultured bacterium. RNAcentral describes it as "partial 16S ribosomal RNA". It matches the Rfam family "Bacterial small subunit ribosomal RNA", at positions 338 to 795 of the family's 1533-position model. The record is from RNAcentral.
CCUACGGGAGGCAGCAGUGGGGAAUUUUGGACAAUGGGCGCAAGCCUGAUCCAGCUAUUCCGCGUGUGGGAAGACGGCCUUCGGGUUGUAAACCACUUUUGUAGAGAACGAAAAGUCUAUUGAUAAUACCGAUAGAUGAUGACGGUUCUCUAAGAAUAAGCACCGUCUAACUACGUGCCAGCCGCCGCGGUAAUACGUAGGGUGCGAGCUUUAAUCGGAAUUACUGGGGGUAAAGGCUGUGCAGGCGGGUUUGCAAGAUGGAUGUGAAAGGCCCGGGGUUAACCUGGGAAAGCCAUACAUGACUGAAAGACUAGAGUGCGUGAGAGGGGGGUGGAAUUCCAAGUGUAGCAGUGAAAUGCGUAGAUAUUUGGAAGAACACCGAUGGCGAAGGCAGCCCCCUGGGACGCAACUGACGCUCAUACACGAAAGCGUGGGGAGCAAACAGGAUUAGAUACCCUUGUAGUC